Molecule: ribosomal RNA, 267 nt
Filed under: uncultured bacterium
Lineage: Bacteria
Description: partial 16S ribosomal RNA
Rfam family: Bacterial small subunit ribosomal RNA
Source: RNAcentral
GUCCACGCCCUAAACGAUGUCAACUGGUUGUUGGGUCUUCACUGACUCAGUAACGAAGCUAACGCGUGAAGUUGACCGCCUGGGGAGUACGGCCGCAAGGUUGAAACUCAAAGGAAAUUGACGGGGACCCGGCACAAGCGGUGGAUGAUGUGGUUUAAUUCGAUGCAACGCGAAAACCUUAACCCACCUUUGUACAUGUACGGAAUUCGCCAGAGAUGGCUUAGUGCUCGAAAGAGAGCCGUAACACAGGUGCUGCAUGGCUGUCGU